AUUGAACGCUGGCGGCGUGCUUAACACAUGCAAGUCGUGCGAGAAAGGGGACUUCGGUCCCUGAGUAGAGCGGCGCACGGGUGAGUAACGCGUGGAUAAUCUCCCUCAUUGUUUGGGAUAACGGCGGGAAACUGCCGCUAAUACCGGAUACGCUCCAAUUUCGGUUGGGGGAAAGGCGGCCUCUGCUUGCAAGCUGUCGCAAUGAGAUGAGUCCGCGUCCCAUUAGCUUGUUGGUGGGGUAAUGGCCCACCAAGGCAACGAUGGGUAGCUGGUCUGAGAGGAUGAUCAGCCACACUGGAACUGAAACACGGUCCAGACUCCUACGGGAGGCAGCAGUGGGGAAUAUUGCGCAAUGGGGGAAACCCUGACGCAGCGACGCCGUGUGAGGGAAGAAGGCUUUCGGGUCGUAAACCUCUGUCAGGAAGGAAGAACCUCUCAAGGCUGAACAAGCCUUGGGACUGACGGUACUUCCAGAGGAAGCACCGGCUAACUCCGUG
This 497-nucleotide ribosomal RNA is filed under the name uncultured bacterium. RNAcentral's name for it is "bacterial SSU rRNA". It matches the Rfam family "Bacterial small subunit ribosomal RNA", at positions 30 to 507 of the family's 1533-position model. The record is from RNAcentral.